GUGGGGAAUCUUGCGCAAUGGGCGAAAGCCUGACGCAGCAACGCCGCGUGGGGGAUGAAGGCUCUCGGGUUGUAAACCCCUUUCAGCAGGGACGAAUCAAGACGGUACCUGCAGAAGAAGCCCCGGCUAACUACGUGCCAGCAGCCGCGGUAACACGUAGGGGGCAAGCGUUGUCCGGAUUUAUUGGGCGUAAAGAGCUCGUAGGUGGCUGAGUAAGUCGGAUGUCAAAUCCCCAGGCUCAACCUGGGAUCCCAGCCGAUACUGCUCUGGCUAGAGUCCGGUAGGGGAGCGUGGAAUUCCUGGUGUAGCGGUGAAAUGCGCAGAUAUCAGGAGGAACACCAGCGGCGAAGGCGGCGCUCUGGGCCGGUACUGACACUGAGGAGCGAAAGCGUGGGUAGCAAACAGGAUUAGAAACCCCGGUAGUCC
RNAcentral lists this ribosomal RNA (426 nucleotides) under uncultured bacterium. RNAcentral's name for it is "bacterial SSU rRNA". It matches the Rfam family "Bacterial small subunit ribosomal RNA", at positions 354 to 796 of the family's 1533-position model. The record is from RNAcentral.